This 322-nucleotide ribosomal RNA is filed under the name uncultured eukaryote. RNAcentral describes it as "partial 18S ribosomal RNA". It matches the Rfam family "Eukaryotic small subunit ribosomal RNA", at positions 1470 to 1796 of the family's 1831-position model. The record is from RNAcentral.
CCCUUAGAUGUUCUGGGCCGCACGCGUGCUACACUGAGUGGAUCAGCGGGUCAGGUUGCGCGAAAGUGUUUCCUACUCUUGAAAUCCGCUCGUGAUGGGGAUUGACGGUUGCAAUUUUCCGUCAUGAACGAGGAAUACCUUGUAAGCGCGGGUCAUCAUCCCGCGCUGAAUACGUCCCUGCCCUUUGUACACACCGCCCGUCGCUCCUACCGAUUGAGUGGUCCGGUGAGGCUUUGGGAUCUGAGCGGAAAGAGCGUUUCGCUGUUUCUGCUCGGAAAACUCAGUCGAACCUUAUCAUUUAGAGGAAGGAGAAGUCGUAACA